RNAcentral lists this long non-coding RNA (591 nucleotides) under Astyanax mexicanus (Mexican tetra). Its description in RNAcentral is "lncRNA (ENSAMXG00005009550.1)". Lineage: Eukaryota; Metazoa; Chordata; Actinopteri; Characiformes; Acestrorhamphidae. The record is from RNAcentral.
CGGCUCUGAGGAACCUCUCAGUGAGAUGAUGUGAGAGCUGGAGGUGUUAGACACUGCUCGGGAUGGCUCCUGUCGACUCGCGACGCUAACGUGCAGUUUUGUCGGUUGUGUGUGUGCUGACCAGGAAUCUUCCUCAUCAUGUCCUCCAAGUCAUCUCUGCUUAAGGUGAUCCUACUGGGGGAUGGAGGUGUGGGCAAGUCCUCCCUCAUGAAUCGCUACGCUUCGGAAGAUCGGCACGAGCAUCUGCUGCCAACAGAUACUGUGGAUUUGCACCGGAAAAAACCACGCUCCAGCACCCGCUGCUGUUGAUUGCGUGUAAUGACUUUGAACAUUUUGUAGGGGAGUUUCACUGAUUUUUCAACAUGUAUACAAGUUUCAGUUGUUGUAGUUUGUUGCAGAGAAACGUGCAGAAUGGACAGUGAUGCUGAUUCAAUCCAAUGUUUUAUAUUUUUGAUCAGAUGCACAAUUUCUACGUAGCGACCUAUUUUUACUGACCCUUUUUGCAAAGGAUUUGAUACUCUUCAAAUAUUACAAUGAUACAAAUACACCAGAAACACCCAGCAGAACACUAUAUGAGUCUUCAGCGCUAUG